UAAUUCCUAAAUAAUCAAAAAGAGUAAAGACAGAAUCACAGAAACCCGUCACUAACGGCUAAGGCCCUAAACCAGCAGCCACCAGUUCUUGUCGACUUUCACCAGCCACCGGUCUCUCUUUCGCCGUCUCGCCUCUCCCUCUUGCCACAGUCAGCAGUUGGUAAGUUUCUUUUCUUGUUGAGUGUGAUUUUACUUGCAAAAAUUUCCACAAGCAAGCAAAAAGAUAGUCGAAUUUAGAAAAGGUCAUUCCUUUUUAUUAGAAAAGGUCUUACUUUUUUUAACACUUGCAAUACUGAACUAGCAAUGGAUUGUUUCCACAAAAGGUAAGUUUCAAUGAUCGAUCGAAUUCAGUGUUUUAACUUGUUCCCGAAUUUGAUUUGUCUUAGGUGCUUGGUAUUAGUUACUAAUUUGUUGCCAAACGAUUUGUUGGUUUAUAUAAUUCUGGGUCUCUGAGUAUUGAUUAAUUGAUUUUAGAUUCAGUUUAACACAUUUGUUCGAUGAUUUCAGGGGUUUCUGUUCCAAAAGUUGUUGAAAUAAGAAGUGCCAUUGAUUGUUUCACGAAAUGAAAGAAGAGGAGGUCUUUAUUCUUUGAUAGUAAGGAUUAACAUAGAAUUUGUCUUUGAUUUAACUUGCUUUGAGUUAUUUCAGUGUAUUUGAUUAAAAAAGUUUCUGCUUUUUGGAGUGGCUUUUUCUUUGUAUUUAUUAUCAAUGCUAAUUAGUGAUUAUCCUUGCUUGUUUAUGUAUACUGGUUGCAGGUGAUAAUGUGACUUUAAUUGCUGAGACUGUGAAGUGAGACUGUGACUUUAAUUGCAGUACAUAUGAGUACAGAAAUUGGACACUUCUUUUGAAAAUUUCGCGUUUCAUUUCGGGUUUAUUGGUUGUUUUCAACCCAGGCUCCCUUAGUUUAUUUGGCCAGAAAAGCUUCAGUUAUAGUUGAUGCUGAAAUUUGGUUACAAAAGACUUCAUUAUAUAUCCUAAAUGUGUCAUUGACUGAACUGUUUAUUUUGUUUUCAGUAAGGACGUUGUAAUAUGCUAUAUGCAUCAUUGAUACUGAAACUUCUGUUUGGUUAUCAUUUAACUGAAUUACCAUAUUCUGAUCCUCUAGCAUGUGAUAUCUCCAGUGUUUUCUCCACCAUAUUUUUAGUUGAGUUAUCUAUCUUGCUCAUAAAGUAGUGAAAUAGUGUUGUACAUUUAGGGAAUGCAGA
Molecule: long non-coding RNA, 1205 nt
Filed under: Nicotiana benthamiana
Lineage: Eukaryota; Viridiplantae; Streptophyta; Magnoliopsida; Solanales; Solanaceae
Description: long non-coding RNA (NBEN_LNC026118)
Source: RNAcentral